UUGAACGCUGGCGGCAUGCUUUACACAUGCAAGUCGAACGGCAGCGCGGGCUUCGGCCUGGCGGCGAGUGGCGAACGGGUGAGUAAUGCAUCGGAACGUGCCCAGUAGUGGGGGAUAGCCCGGCGAAAGCCGGAUUAAUACCGCAUACGACCUGAGGGUGAAAGCGGGGGACCGAAAGGCCUCGCGCUCUUGGAGCGGCCGAUGUCGGAUUAGCUAGUUGGUGGGGUAAAGGCUUACCAAGGCGACGAUCCGUAGCUGGUCUGAGAGGACGACCAGCCACACUGGGACUGAGACACGGCCCAGACUCCUACGGGAGGCAGCAGUGGGGAAUUUUGGACAAUGGGGGCAACCCUGAUCCAGCCAUGCCGCGUGCGGGAAGAAGGCCUUCGGGUUGUAAACCGCUUUUGUUCGGGAAGAAAUCCUCUGGGCUAAUACCCCGGGGGGAUGACGGUACCGGAAGAAUAAGCACCGGCUAACUACGUG
This 483-nucleotide ribosomal RNA is filed under the name uncultured bacterium. RNAcentral's name for it is "partial 16S ribosomal RNA". It matches the Rfam family "Bacterial small subunit ribosomal RNA", at positions 29 to 507 of the family's 1533-position model. The record is from RNAcentral.